GAUGAACGCUGGCGGCGUGCCUAAUACAUGCAAGUCGAGCGAACGGACGAGAAGCUUGCUUCUCUGAUGUUAGCGGCGGACGGGUGAGUAGCACGUGGAUAACCUACCUAUAAGACUGGGAUAACUUCGGGAAACCGGAGCUAAUACCGGAUAAUAUUUUGAACCGCAUGGUUCAAAAGUGAAAGACGGUCUUGCUGUCACUUAUAGAUGGAUCCGCGCUGCAUUAGCUAGUUGGUAAGGUAACGGCUUACCAAGGCAACGAUGCAUAGCCGACCUGAGAGGGUGAUCGGCCACACUGGAACUGAGACACGGACCAGACUCCUACGGGAGGCAGCAGUAGGGAAUCUUCCGCAAUGGGCGAAAGCCUGACGGAGCAACGCCGCGUGAGUGAUGAAGGUCUUCGGAUCGUAAAACUCUGUUAUUAGGGAAGAACAUAUGUGUAAGUACCUGUGCACAUCUUGACGGUACCUAGUCAGAGAGCCACGGCUAACUACGUG
This 497-nucleotide ribosomal RNA is filed under the name uncultured bacterium. Its description in RNAcentral is "partial 16S ribosomal RNA". It matches the Rfam family "Bacterial small subunit ribosomal RNA", at positions 28 to 507 of the family's 1533-position model. The record is from RNAcentral.